CAGCCGCCGCGGUAAUACCGGCGGCCCGAGUGGCGGUCACUAUUAUUGGGCUUAAAGCGUCCGUAGCCGGGUUGGGAAGUCCUCCGGGAAAUCUGGCCGCUUAACGGUCAGAAUGCCGGAGGAUACUCCCAGCCUAGGGAGCGGGAGAGGCCGAGGGUAUUCCCGGAGUAGGGGUGAAAUCCUAUAAUCCCGGGAGGACCACCUGUGGCGAAGGCGCUCGGCUGGAACGCGUCCGACGGUGAGGGACGAAGGCUAGGGGAGCAAACCGGAUUAGAUACCCGGGUAGUCCUGGCUGUAAACGAUGCGGACUUUGUGUCGGACAAGCUAUGAGCUUGUCCGGUGCCGGAGGGAAACCGUUAAGUCCGCCGCCUGGGGAGUACGGCCGCAAGGCUGAAACUUAAAGGAAUUGGCGGG
RNAcentral lists this ribosomal RNA (414 nucleotides) under uncultured microorganism. RNAcentral's name for it is "bacterial SSU rRNA". It matches the Rfam family "Archaeal small subunit ribosomal RNA", at positions 459 to 872 of the family's 1478-position model. The record is from RNAcentral.